Hippocampus zosterae (dwarf seahorse) is the source of this 171-nucleotide long non-coding RNA. RefSeq lists it as uncharacterized. The transcript is spliced from 2 exons. The record is from RefSeq and is a predicted model, not a curated record. NCBI's taxonomy places the organism in Eukaryota, Metazoa, Chordata, Actinopteri, Syngnathiformes, Syngnathidae.
GUGCCUAGCUUGGGUCCUCAAGGUCCCCUGUCCGGCAUUUUUUAAAUGUCUCCCACUUCCAACGUGCCUGAUUGAUAUGAUCAGGAACAUUAUCAGGCUUCUCAGCGCUUGCUGAUUAUGCUGCUGAUUAGAAUCAGUUAUAGAGAGAGAGAGAGAGAGAGAGAGAGAGAG